UACGUAGGCGGUUAUAUAAGUCGUUUGUAAAAGAUCUCAGCUCAACUGAGUAAAGCGAAUGAAACUGUAUGACUUGAAUACGGUAGAGGUAAGUGGAAUUCCAUGUGUAGCGGUGGAAUGCGUAGAUAUAUGGAGGAACACCAAUGGCGAAGGCAACUUACUGGGCCGGAAUUGACGCUGAGGCACGAAAGCGUGGGGAGCAAACAGGAUUAGAUACCCUGGUAGUCC
RNAcentral lists this ribosomal RNA (228 nucleotides) under uncultured bacterium. RNAcentral's name for it is "partial 16S ribosomal RNA". It matches the Rfam family "Bacterial small subunit ribosomal RNA", at positions 568 to 796 of the family's 1533-position model. The record is from RNAcentral.